Molecule: long non-coding RNA, 1843 nt
Organism: Oncorhynchus keta (chum salmon)
Lineage: Eukaryota; Metazoa; Chordata; Actinopteri; Salmoniformes; Salmonidae
Exons: 7
Source: RefSeq, a predicted model, not a curated record
CAGGAGGGACACAUAGUAGAGACACAGGAGAAACAGGAGGGACACAUAGCAGAGACACAGGAGAAACAGGAGGGACACAUAGCAGAGACACAGGAGAAACAGGAGGGACACGAGGGACACGUAGCAGAGACACAGGAGAAACAGGAGGGACACGAGGGACACGUAGCAGAGACACAGGAGAAACAGGAGGGACACGUAGCAGAGACACAGGAGAAACAGGAGGGACACGUAGCAGAGACAUAGGAGAAACAGGAGGGACACGAGGGACACGUAGCAGAGACACAGGAGAAACAGGAGGGACACGUAGCAGAGACACAGGAGAAACAGGAGGGACACAUAGCAGAGACACAGGAGAAACAGGAGGGACACAUAGCAGAGACACAGGAGGGACACGAGGGACACGUAGCAGAGACACAGGAGAAACAGGAGGGACGCAUAGUAGAGACACAGGAGGGACACGUAGUAGAGACAUAGGAGAAACAGGAGGGACAGGAGGGACACGUAUUAGAGACAGAAGGGACGCGUAGUAGAAACAGGAGGGACGCGUAGUAGAAACAGGAGGGACGCGUAGUAGAAACAGGAGGGACGCGUAUUAGAGACAGAAGGGACGCGUAGUAGAAACAGGAGGGACGCGUAUUAGAGACAAGGGACGCGUAGUAGAAACAGGAGGGACUCGUAGUAGAAACAGUAGGGACGCGUAGUAGAAACAGGAGGGACGCGUAUUAGAGACAGAAGGGACGCGUAGUAGAAACAGGAGGGACGCGUAGUAGAAACACGAGGGACGCGUAGUAGAAACAGGAGGGACGCGUAUUAGAGACAGAAGGGACGCGUAGUAGAAACAGGAGGGACGCGUAGUAGAAACAGGAGGGACGCGUAGUAGAAACAGGAGGGACGCGUAGCAGAGACAGAAGGGACGCGUAGUAGAAACAGGAGGGACACGUAGCAGAGACAGAAGGACGCGUAGUAGAAACAGGAGGGACACGUAGUAGAAACAGGAGGGACGCGUAGUAGAAACACGUAGCAGAGACAUAGGAGGGUCACGUAUUAGAGACAGAAGGGACGCGUAGUAGAAACAGGAGGGACGCGUAGCAGAGACAGGAGGGACGCGUAGCAGAGACAGGAGGGACGCGUAGCAGAAACAGGAGGGACGCGUAGUAGAAACAGGAGGGACGCGUAGUAGAAACAGGAGGGACGCGUAUUAGAGACAGGAGGGAUACGUAGCAGAAACAGGAGGGACGCGUAGCAGAGACAGGAGGGACGCGUAGCAGAGACAGGAGGGACGCGUAGCAGAGACAGGAGGGACGCGUAGCAGAGACAGAAGGGACGCGUAGUAGAAACAGGAGGGACGCGUAGUAGAAACAGGAGGGACGCGUAGCAGAGACAGGAGGGACGCGUAGUAGAGACAGGAGGGACGCGUAGUAGAAACAGGAGGGACGCGUAGUAGGAACAGGAGGGACGCGUAGUAGAAACAGGAGGGACGCGUAGUAGAAACAGGAGGGACGCGUAGUAGAAACAGGAGGGACGCGUAGUAGAAACAGGAGGGACGCGUAGUAGGAACAGGAGGGACGCGUAGUAGAAACAGGAGGGACGCGUAGUAGAAACAGGAGGGACGCGUAGUAGAAACAGGAGGGACGCGUAGUAGGAACAGAAGGGACGCGUAGUAGAAACAGGAGGGACACGUAGCAGAGACAGAAGGGACGCGUAGUAGAAACAGGAGGGACACGUAGUAGAAACAGGAGGGACGCGUAGUAGAAACACGAGGGACGCGUAGUAGAAACAGGAGGGACGCGUAGUAGAAACAGGAGGGACGCGUAGUAGAAACAGGAGGGACGCGUAGUAGAAA